GGUUAAGCGACUAAGCGUACACGGUGGAUGCCCUGGCAGUCAGAGGCGAUGAAGGGCGUGCUAAUCUGCGAUAAGCGCCGGUAAGGUGAUAUGAACCGUUAUAACCGGCGAUACCCGAAUGGGGAAACCCAGUGUGAUUCGUCACACUAUCAUUAACUGAAUCCAUAGGUUAAUGAGGCGAACCGGGGGAACUGAAACAUCUAAGUACCCCGAGGAAAAGAAAUCAACCGAGAUUCCCCCAGUAGCGGCGAGCGAACGGGGAGGAGCCCAGAGCCUGAAUCAGCAUGUGUGUUAGUGGAAGCGUCUGGAAAGGCGCGCGAUACAGGGUGACAGCCCCGUACACAAAAGCGCAUGUGUUGUGAGCUCGAUGAGUAGGGCGGGACACGUGGUAUCCUGUCUGAAUAUGGGGGGACCAUCCUCCAAGGCUAAAUACUCCUGACUGACCGAUAGUGAACCAGUACCGUGAGGGAAAGGCGAAAAGAACCCCGGCGAGGGGAGUGAAAAAGAACCUGAAACCGUGUACGUACAAGCAGUGGGAGCACCCUUUGGGGUGUGACUGCGUACCUUUUGUAUAAUGGGUCAGCGACUUAUAUUCUGUAGCAAGGUUAACCGUAUAGGGGAGCCGGAGGGAAACCGAGUCUUAACCGGGCGUUAAGUUGCAGGGUAUAGACCCGAAACCCGGUGAUCUAGCCAUGGGCAGGUUGAAGGUUGGGUAACACUAACUGGAGGACCGAACCGACUAAUGUUGAAAAAUUAGCGGAUGACCUGUGGCUGGGGGUGAAAGGCCAAUCAAACCGGGAGAUAGCUGGUUCUCCCCGAAAGCUAUUUAGGUAGCGCCUCGUGAAUUCAUCUCCGGGGGUAGAGCACUGUUUCGGCUAGGGGGCCAUCCCGGCUUACCAACCCGAUGCAAACUGCGAAUACCGGAGAAUGUUAUCACGGGAGACACACGGCGGGUGCUAACGUCCGUCGUGAAGAGGGAAACAACCCAGACCGCCAGCUAAGGUCCCAAAGUCAUGGUUAAGUGGGAAACGAUGUGGGAAGGCCCAGACAGCCAGGAUGUUGGCUUAGAAGCAGCCAUCAUUUAAAGAAAGCGUAAUAGCUCACUGGUCGAGUCGGCCUGCGCGGAAGAUGUAACGGGGCUAAACCAUGCACCGAAGCUGCGGCAGCGACGCUUAUGCGUUGUUGGGUAGGGGAGCGUUCUGUAAGCCUGUGAAGGUGUGUCGUGAGGCAUGCUGGAGGUAUCAGAAGUGCGAAUGCUGACAUAAGUAACGAUAAAGCGGGUGAAAAGCCCGCUCGCCGGAAGACCAAGGGUUCCUGUCCAACGUUAAUCGGGGCAGGGUGAGUCGACCCCUAAGGCGAGGCCGAAAGGCGUAGUCGAUGGGAAACGGGUUAAUAUUCCCGUACUUGGUGUUACUGCGAAGGGGGGACGGAGAAGGCUAUGUUGGCCGGGCGACGGUUGUCCCGGUUUAAGCGUGUAGGUGUGUGUUCCAGGUAAAUCCGGUUCACUUUAACACUGAGGCGUGACGACGAGGCACUACGGUGCUGAAGCAACAAAUGCCCUGCUUCCAGGAAAAGCCUCUAAGCAUCAGGUAACAUCAAAUCGUACCCCAAACCGACACAGGUGGUCAGGUAGAGAAUACCAAGGCGCUUGAGAGAACUCGGGUGAAGGAACUAGGCAAAAUGGUGCCGUAACUUCGGGAGAAGGCACGCUGACACGUAGGUGAAGUGAUUUACUCAUGGAGCUGAAGUCAGUCGAAGAUACCAGCUGGCUGCAACUGUUUAUUAAAAACACAGCACUGUGCAAACACGAAAGUGGACGUAUACGGUGUGACGCCUGCCCGGUGCCGGAAGGUUAAUUGAUGGGGUCAGCGCAAGCGAAGCUCCUGAUCGAAGCCCCGGUAAACGGCGGCCGUAACUAUAACGGUCCUAAGGUAGCGAAAUUCCUUGUCGGGUAAGUUCCGACCUGCACGAAUGGCGUAAUGAUGGCCAGGCUGUCUCCACCCGAGACUCAGUGAAAUUGAACUCGCUGUGAAGAUGCAGUGUACCCGCGGCAAGACGGAAAGACCCCGUGAACCUUUACUAUAGCUUGACACUGAACAUUGAGCCUUGAUGUGUAGGAUAGGUGGGAGGCUUUGAAGCGUGGACGCCAGUCUGCGUGGAGCCGACCUUGAAAUACCACCCUUUAAUGUUUGAUGUUCUAACGUGGACCCGUAAUCCGGGUUGCGGACAGUGUCUGGUGGGUAGUUUGACUGGGGCGGUCUCCUCCUAAAGAGUAACGGAGGAGCACGAAGGUUGGCUAAUCCUGGUCGGACAUCAGGAGGUUAGUGCAAUGGCAUAAGCCAGCUUGACUGCGAGCGUGACGGCGCGAGCAGGUGCGAAAGCAGGUCAUAGUGAUCCGGUGGUUCUGAAUGGAAGGGCCAUCGCUCAACGGAUAAAAGGUACUCCGGGGAUAACAGGCUGAUACCGCCCAAGAGUUCAUAUCGACGGCGGUGUUUGGCACCUCGAUGUCGGCUCAUCACAUCCUGGGGCUGAAGUAGGUCCCAAGGGUAUGGCUGUUCGCCAUUUAAAGUGGUACGCGAGCUGGGUUUAGAACGUCGUGAGACAGUUCGGUCCCUAUCUGCCGUGGGCGCUGGAGAACUGAGGGGGCUGCUCCUAGUACGAGAGGACCGGAGUGGACGCAUCACUGGUGUUCGGGUUGUCAUGCCAAUGGCACUGCCCGGUAGCUAAAUGCGGAAGAGAUAAGUGCUGAAAGCAUCUAAGCACGAAACUUGCCCCGAGAUGAGUUCUCCCUGAGACUUAGAGUCUCCUGAAGGAACGUUGAAGACGACGACGUUGAUAGGCCGGGUGUGUAAGCGCAGCGAUGCGUUGAGCUAACCGGUACUAAUGAACCGUGAGGCUUAACCUU
RNAcentral lists this ribosomal RNA (2905 nucleotides) under Salmonella enterica subsp. enterica. RNAcentral describes it as "23S ribosomal RNA". It matches the Rfam family "Bacterial large subunit ribosomal RNA". Lineage: Bacteria; Pseudomonadati; Pseudomonadota; Gammaproteobacteria; Enterobacterales; Enterobacteriaceae. The record is from RNAcentral.